This is a small RNA of Shigella dysenteriae Sd197, 79 nucleotides long. It matches the Rfam family "Nucleoid-associated noncoding RNA 4 (CssrE)". From Rfam's summary of the family: In E. coli small RNA transcribed from repeated extragenic palindromic element (REP325) called nucleoid-associated ncRNA 4 (nRNA4) collaborates HU protein in condensing the DNA. The secondary structure but not the sequence of the RNA is important in nucleoid condensation. The record is from Rfam. NCBI's taxonomy places the organism in Bacteria, Pseudomonadati, Pseudomonadota, Gammaproteobacteria, Enterobacterales, Enterobacteriaceae.
GGCCGGAUAAGGCGCUCGCGCCGCAUCCGGCGAUGGUGCACUGAAGCCUGAUGCGACGCUUACCGCGUCUUAUCAUGCC